GCCGUAGAAAAAGGAAGCGUGGAGCAAGUGGAUCUCUAGAGCAAAAGUAUGAUGCAAUUAGUUUGGAUGUAGAAGCAUCCAAGAGUCACCCCACAACUAUGAUAGCUGUGAAGAUAGCAGCACUUGAGGCAUUAGAAGCUCUUCUAACUGUGGGUGGUGCUUUGAGGGCUCCAAGCUGUCAAAAGUUGAUAAUCUUUUAAUAAAUAUGGCAGCAGAUUGUUGUAAAGGGGGAUGGGCUAACGAGGAAAGCAACUCAUUCUUGCCUAAUGGGUCGACCUCCACACAUGCAGAUUUGCAGCUUGCAAUAUUGCGUACACUCUUGGCGUCUCUUCUGUCACCAUCUUGUGUGCGUCCUCCACAUUUAGCACAGAGUCUUGAGCUUUAUCGUAGAGGAAGGCAAGAAACUGGAACAAAACUUUCUGAACUAUGUUCCUAUGCACUUUUGGUGUUGGAGGUACUUAUACAUCCUCGGGCCCUGCCACUGGCAGGUUUUUCCUCUGAAAAAUCUUCCCAUGAAGUUAACGGUGGAUUACAGGAAAUAGGGCAUAGAUCUUCUGAUUCAGAUGACGUUACUUUUGAGAGAUGGCUAGGCAGUUGCAAAGAAACAGACACUCCAGCAGAUGGCCCAGGUAAAAAUAUAAACAGCAAAAUGCCUUCUGAAAACUUGGGAGUUCAAGCAGGUUCAAUGGCUACAAAAAGUCCUGGGCAAAGUAAGGACGAGCCAGCAGGAGCUAAUGCAUGUAGAGAUGGGAAACUUUGGUGAUGAAAUAAUUGUCGAAUCACAGCAAGUUCAAGAACCCAUAUUGCAGCUUCAGGGUUUCACAUCUCUUAAAGAUGCCACCGUUUCUGUAGUCCUUGAUGAUCCUAAAAUUCCUGAACUGGAAUUAACAAGGGUAGCUUCAGGCACUGGUGCAUUAGUUUCUACAGAUAAGGAAACUGCACCAGUUGAGGCUGGCAUGGUAGAUAGAGGUAGUGAAAUUGCCUCCACAGUAGGAAGCAAAAAUACAACAGCUAGUGCUCUAAAAGAAACAGUAUUUGGUUCUGAAUCAGAUCAUGACUCAUCAGCAGAGUCUUUGCCAGAUAUUGUGGAUGCUGAUCCAGAUUCUGAUUAGAAUUUAGGUAAGAGUUGUGAUGUAUCUCGAAGUUAAAAGGAGAGUCAGGGACAUGCAUUGUAUUUUAUAGAAGUCUUUUCAUCUUUUCAAAAGAAGAUGGUUUUGGGUUUAGUAAUCGCUUUGCAUUUUAUCAGUCUGGCAGUUGAUGAGAACAUUAUGCCAUUUGUUUGGUUUGUUGAAUGGAAUAUAUUAGUUAUUAUUAUCACUUUAUAUAUAAUUUCAAGGGAAAA
RNAcentral lists this unclassified non-coding RNA (1342 nucleotides) under Hevea brasiliensis (rubber tree). The record is from RNAcentral. Lineage: Eukaryota; Viridiplantae; Streptophyta; Magnoliopsida; Malpighiales; Euphorbiaceae.